GAAUGCUUAAAAUGUUGAUGUGCAUUGUUAACUAAGUCAUGAAGGAAAGCAAAGAGCAGGAGCUUUACUUCAUAUGAUAUUCCAUUUAUUUUACUUAAUGCUAUGUGUGGAACUCCGUUAUCUGAGGUGGCUGAUCGAAACAAUCAUCCUUAUAUCGUUAGAUUUUUUGACCCAGAUGAAGAUGUGGUGCCACAGUACUUUUUUGCUAUAGAGCAAAAAUUGCACUGUGAAUGUAGUGCAUUGUCAACAUCCAUCUUUAAUUUAGUACAUUACAUCUUUAAUAUUGAAUAGACUGAAAGUUGGAAGUAUAUAUUUUGAUUUUUUAGCAGUUUACAUUGGAUAUAAA
Amphimedon queenslandica is the source of this 346-nucleotide long non-coding RNA. RefSeq lists it as uncharacterized. The record is from RefSeq and is a predicted model, not a curated record. The transcript is spliced from 2 exons. NCBI's taxonomy places the organism in Eukaryota, Metazoa, Porifera, Demospongiae, Haplosclerida, Niphatidae.